UUUCAAAAGGAAAAACAAGUUCAGGGCCUCGGGGGUUUCAAAAAAUUCCGGUCCUAUCUACCACUAUGACUAAUGGGAAACGACAUUGCAAUUGACAUUGCUUUUCGCAAUAUGACAUAUUAUUGGAGGGAUAUGGGAGAAUUGUCAAACAUUCACACCACGCGAGAGUUUUAGGUGGGAUAGGGGAGGAUUGUCAAGAGUUCACACCACAAGAAACUAAUGAUAGGCUUAAUUUCGUUGUCAGUUCUUUAUUUAUUUAUUUUUUUUAUUUCAUACAUUAUUGUUCUUGUAAAGGUAUAAAAGUAAAGUAAAAUACUAGGGGUGCUGUUAAGUUACAACUGAUGUAACUUGUAAUUUUUUCAAAAAUAAUGUAAAAAAUUUAAUAGGUGGUGGGACCCACAUAUUUUUUAAGAGACUUAAGUUACAGCAGUUGUAACUUAACAAAAUCUAAAUAUUAGACAAUAAUGCAUAUAAUUUGGGUUUGAUUUUUAAAAGAUUAUUUGAGUACCACCUAUCCUUAUGAUAUUAAUGUGAUUAUAUCUUAAUAUUAAAUAAUCAAAAAAAUUUUAAUUAUUAUUUGUUUUUCAUACAUUACAUAUUAGAUUUUUUUGAAUUUUAAGUUGUUGCUAAUAAAUAUUUAUGUUGUCAAAGUCAAAUUCAAUAGCUACAAAAGCAGAGAUAAUGGUAUUGUAUAUAGUUUUUAAGAAUGCAAGGAUAAGCUGGAUAAUUGACAUAAAUUCUAAUGAUUAAAAGAGCAACUAUCCCUUAAAUUAUAAUGUUAAUUUCUUUAAUUAGAAUUUUUUUUUUCAUGUGAUAUAACCACAAUUGCUACAAUUUUUUUUUAAAUAAUAAUGGGAGUUAUAAAUUAUUUAUAUAAAAUUUGGGUUGAAACUAAUGUAACCUAAAAGUGGUUGCUGAAUAACAAUAUUUGAAACUUUAGGUAAUUUUCAUGAGUCCUUUUUAUAUUCAGCAACCUGAAUUGGGGGAAAUCUGACUUGAAUUGGCGGUUGAUUUUGGUGAUGUGGCUUUUGGUUUAUGGCGGCUUUACAGUGGCGGAAGACUGGAUUUACGGUUGCCGACUGCUAGGGAUUAUGGUGGUGGUGUAAAUUGACGGAAAAAGAAGGUGUUUUGGUGGCGGCGCGUGUAGGAAGCACUCGUGGGUUGUCGUUUCGUGUGGUGACAGAGGGCAGCCAUCAAGGGCUGAAGUCGGUCGGUUUUUGGUCAACGGAGGCCGGCGAGUUUGUUGGUGGAGGUGGCUGGUGGAGAAAGUGGCUGAAUGGUGGUGGGUUGCUUGGUGGAGCCGCGGGUUUGGGUUGGUGAUUUGCGGCUGUUCAAGCGGCGGUUGAGGCAGCGAUGACUGAGGCUUGGUCAACGGUGGCUAGUGAGGUUUGUGGUUGUGUUGGCUGGCUGAUUGGCGGUGGUGGGCGGCGGUGGGGGUUGGUCUGACGGGUAGGGUUUUCAAAUUUGUAAUUUUUUGUUUUUCGAUGGAUUUGGUUUGGAUGGGUAUGGUGUAUCUAGGAAAGAUGUGUGAUUCGCACAGAAUUGCUUUGAUACCAAUUGAUGGAGCGAGCGUAGCGGAAGCAGAAUUGAUAGGGUAAGAAAUACUAGAUAUCGUUCUAGUAAUGGAUUAAGCCAACGCGAUUAGCUUACGCUUUAAUCGAAGUGUGAUUAGAUAUUGUUUUAAUCUAAAUGACUCAAUGAGAUUUUUAAUAACGCGUAAUACGAGAUUAGAUGACACUCUAAUCCAAACGACUCUAUAAGAGAGAUUUUAAUAAAUAAUACUAGAGGAAAUUAUAAAAAAAGAGUUUUAUUUAAUAAUUGAACUUGAAAUUCUGAAAACAAUGACAAGACAUCUUUAUUAUUUUUAUUACAGACGUCUUUAUUUAUAAUAAAAGAAAUCCGCUUUCCUAAGUUAACUUAAAAAGAAAUUUUAAAUUAUAAUUAUAAUGGAAAUAAAAGAUUAAGAUACAUACCAUAAUUGACUCAAACAAAAAUAGAAAACCAUAAAAUAAUAAAUAUUUUAGAAUUAUAAAUUAUCUAAAAUAACGUUAAUUAACUUCUAAAUCACUUCUUUGGUGUAAACCAUUUUGCAUCCAACCUUGCUUUAAAGGUUUGAACCAACGUUUCGAACAACAAUGUAUCAAAUUCCAAUCUAACUUAAGAUCCUGAUACAUCUACCGAUGUCCUUGUUUGAUUAGACAAUAAUGAGUCUAUCUCAUCACUUGUUACCUCUUUCUUGAAGGCUGCAUCUGUUGAAGUGAUAGCCUCGUUUAGAGUUUAAAGAUCUUCUUCCAUAUUAAAUAAAAUGGGCAUUUGAUUAAAAAAAUUUAUCUCUAUCUCCUUCUAUCAAAUAACGAAAACUAUCCAAAGGGAAAAAAAAAUUAGAAAAGUCCAUGGGUCGCAAUAAUUUAUGGUCUAUCCUCGGACCCCAUUAUCUGCCACUAUCAAUGAUGAAAAUGAAAAUAAAUGGCAUCUUCCCAAAAUGGCGAAAGAUUUUUGGGGGAUAUGGGGGAAUUGUCAAAAGUUCACACAACGCGAAACAAGUGUUACAUCCUAUUUUAUUUCAUCAUAUAAUGAUAAUAUCAAGUAAUGACAACCAUCCAAAAGUAUAAUGGGUCUUCCAAAAUUUUGAAAAUGUCGUCAACAUUUAAUCUUCAAUGCUAAAGAAGAUGAAAUGCCCAAAAAUGACAUGCAGAACCCACUCACAGACUAAAUGGCCCUGACCACAUGUAACAAACUUUGACUUUAUAUCCCUGUUGAGGCGUUAGACUGUUGGUCAUUUUGAUUGCUUUUUACAUUCCAUUUAUGCCAUUGUAGCAUUGUACUAUUCACCAUUUUAGCUGUUUAAAUGAAAUUGUUUUUUUUUCCAAAAAUAAAAUGACACCCUUCAAAUUUUAGAAAAUAGUCAUGUAGACCCCAAAAUUUUAAUAAAGAACACCAAUACCCUUUUUGACUAUAGUACUCUUAUGGUAGACACAAAUAGGGAUGGCAAUGGAUUGGAUAUGAUCCAAGAUCCACAUGAUCCAAAUCCAAUCGGAUCGGAUUUGGAUUGUUUUAAAAUAGAUUUGGAUCGGAUUUGAAUAUCGAUGUGCGGAUCUAAGACGGAUCUGGAGCAGAUCUGGAUCUAUUGUAAUAUCUAAAUCCAUAUCCAUAUCCACUCAUCUUUUAAUUUUAUUUUAUUUUGAAAGUUUCUUAACAAUUGUAGAAUUAUAAUGAUAAUAAAUUUUAUUCAUAACAUAUUAGUAGUAUUUACCAUGCAUUUAAACUCUUAAAAUUUAAAGGUUAGUUUUGUAAAUUUAAAGGUCAGCCAGCCCCAAAGCAUGUACAUGCAAUAUUCAAAUUGCAAGCCAAGUAAUAAUCUGGCAAUUUAUUUUAUUAUAUUGGCCAAAUAAUUUUUAAGGAAUAUAAUUAUUCAUAUAUUUAGUCAA
This 3428-nucleotide long non-coding RNA is filed under the name Citrus x clementina. RNAcentral's name for it is "Citrus clementina (C. clementina) long non-coding RNA (CCLE_LNC006174)". Lineage: Eukaryota; Viridiplantae; Streptophyta; Magnoliopsida; Sapindales; Rutaceae. The record is from RNAcentral.